UUCACGACGAUUAAUGACGGCAACCGUGCC
Molecule: small RNA, 30 nt
Filed under: Bombyx mori (domestic silkworm)
Lineage: Eukaryota; Metazoa; Arthropoda; Insecta; Lepidoptera; Bombycidae
Description: ovarian small RNA-9511
Source: RNAcentral